GUUAAUUGCCAAGUCUCAGAACCAGCGGUGUCUCUGUGACAUCCCAAAUAGAAGACAUUUGACCCAUUUGUGCAAACCUCUAUUACAGGACCAAAUCCCUUUGAAGCACAUUAGAGAAGACUUUCACAUCUAAACCUCUGCCACCACAUUGGAGGAAAGCACUGAACCCAGCUGUCUGUAUCCUCUGGCACAGAAAUGUCAGAUUCCUUCAGAGCAAUGCAGGGAGUUUUCCUGGAAGUUGUUUUCAUUCACACUUGAAGACACCAGGAGGCCAAUGUUAUCCAGGAGAGGAUCUGGAGAGUGCUCAAGCAAAUUCAAAGGCUCAUCAAGGGCCCUACAUUCAGCUGGACCCCCUCAAGCCAGGGACAGAGUUCUGCUUUGGGGAGAUGACGGUGAGAUGGAUGGCUGAAGGAGCGGAGCAGGACAAACCUGCCACCUUCAUAUCUCUGUGUGAAGCCCCAUUACACCAUAGUGCUGUUCAUUCUGAGGCUUAAAACAGCAGGAGUGCACCACUCUUCCAAACACUGUGUUCUUACAGCGAGACACAACGAGAAGCAGCAUGGAAAUUCCUACUGCCUUUAUG
This 583-nucleotide long non-coding RNA is filed under the name Gallus gallus (chicken). Its description in RNAcentral is "lncRNA (ENSGALG00010010032.1)". Lineage: Eukaryota; Metazoa; Chordata; Aves; Galliformes; Phasianidae. The record is from RNAcentral.